This 337-nucleotide unclassified non-coding RNA is filed under the name soil metagenome. RNAcentral's name for it is "partial contains 5.8S ribosomal RNA, internal transcribed spacer 2, and large subunit ribosomal RNA". The stretch from base 1 to 120 matches the Rfam family "5.8S ribosomal RNA", at positions 35 to 154 of the family's 154-position model. The record is from RNAcentral.
GAUGAAGAACGCAGCGAAAUGCGAUAAGUAAUGUGAAUUGCAGAAUUCCGUGAAUCAUCGAAUCUUUGAACGCACAUUGCGCCCCCUGGCAUUCCGGGGGGCAUGCCUGUCCGAGCGUCAUUUCUGCCCUCAAGCACGGCUUGUGUGUUGGGUGUGGUCCCCCCGGGGACCUGCCCGAAAGGCAGCGGCGACGUCCGUCUGGUCCUCGAGCGUAUGGGGCUCUGUCACUCGCUCGGGAAGGACCUGCGGGGGUUGGUCACCACUAUAUUUUACCACGUUUGACCUCGGAUCAGGUAGGAGUUACCCGCUGAACUUAAGCAUAUCAAUAAGCGGAGGA